ACAGAUCGUGAGAUUUAAAAACCU
Molecule: non-coding RNA, 24 nt
Filed under: Arabidopsis thaliana (thale cress)
Lineage: Eukaryota; Viridiplantae; Streptophyta; Magnoliopsida; Brassicales; Brassicaceae
Source: RNAcentral